Molecule: ribosomal RNA, 378 nt
Filed under: Triticum aestivum (bread wheat)
Lineage: Eukaryota; Viridiplantae; Streptophyta; Magnoliopsida; Poales; Poaceae
Description: partial small subunit ribosomal RNA
Source: RNAcentral
AUGGCAAUGGGAGGAGGAUCGCAUUUGAACGGACACCGGGCGCCGAGGCUCUUUGGCAGGGAAAGGCCGGUCCAUGCGGCCCUCGGUGGACGCGAAGCGGCGGACAUCAUCCUGUGGAGGAGGCCGAAGGUGUCGGCGUCGAUCCUCGGCGCGGCGACGGCGGCGUGGGCUCUGUUCGAGGUGGCGGAGUACCACUUCCUGACACUGGCGUGCUAUGCCGCCAUGAUCACCAUGCUCAUCUUCUUCAUCUGGACCAACGCCUCCGCUUUCCUGAACCUGCCGGUUCCACGGAUCCCUGAGACGAUCCUGUCGGAGAGGACCGCGAAGCAGGCAACCUGGGCCUGCACAGGAGGCUCACGUGGUUCGUGCACCGGCUGA